Long non-coding RNA from Brassica oleracea var. oleracea, 787 nucleotides. RefSeq lists it as uncharacterized. NCBI's taxonomy places the organism in Eukaryota, Viridiplantae, Streptophyta, Magnoliopsida, Brassicales, Brassicaceae. The record is from RefSeq and is a predicted model, not a curated record. The transcript is spliced from 5 exons.
AAAAAAACCCUAAAGAAGGGCAUUUUAGUCAUUUUGGAUGAUCUGCAACCUAAGAUAUUUCACUUAUAUGUUGUGGCCACGAUCUAGAGAGGAGAGGGAGAGAAAAAUUGAUGGCAAAGCCCUGCCAAAUUCACCAAAAACGCAGCCUGCAAACUCUGUUCUCUAAGUGAGAUCAGUGUCAAGUUGAGGUUUUGGAGAGGAGUUUACGGCCAGAUACUUAAGAUUUAAGCAAAGAGUCUUAGCUGGAGCGAUAGAUCUCGUUUCAAGGAGAACACAGCAACUUUCGUAUCUCAGUUACGAGAGCCAUAUUGUGGGGCAAUUUCCGGUUGAUACAGAAGGAUCUAGGUGACGGUAUUGUUAUGGUUGGAAAGCUGACAUUCCCAGCUUUUUACAGCCACCACGACCACGCAUUUACGAGUGUCACAUAGGGGUUUUGUGAGAAGAUUUCCCGGUGAACCAGAGAGAGUUAGAAAGCGAGAAAGAUAUCUCUGGAAAGCUCUUGUUUCGAGGAAUCUGUAUCAGUUGACGGUUUCUUGUUUAGAGUUUCAGAUCGCUAUGACAGUAUUUCAAUCGCUAUAUUCAGAAUUUACUUUCAACCUUAGGGCAAAGGUGAGGAGUGAAGGUUCACAACGAGUCUUGUCGGAUGCUGGUUUUAAAAAUGAGUUUUACUUAUGUUUUAUUUCAGAUAUAACUACGUUGGUUUGACUUUGCGAAUUAUGCGGUUUAUGAUUUCAUGUUAAGAUGUUUCUUUAAGAAUAAAGAUGGAUUUUUAUGAAAUAUAUUUAUU